Molecule: unclassified non-coding RNA, 240 nt
Filed under: soil metagenome
Description: partial contains 5.8S ribosomal RNA, internal transcribed spacer 2, and large subunit ribosomal RNA
Source: RNAcentral
AACGCACGAGACCUGCGGACCUGCGGAGGGAUCAUUAAAGAGUUGCAAGACUCCCAAACCAUUGUGAACGUUACCCACACCGUUGCUUCGGCGGGCGGCCCGGGCCCCUGCCCGGCGCCCCCCGGCCCCUCGCGGGCGCCCGCCGGAGGUAAACCAAACUCUUGAAUUGUAUGGCCUCUCUGAGUCUUCUGUACUGAAUAAGUCAAAACUUUUAACAACGGAUCUCUAGAUCGGAAGAGC